RNAcentral lists this ribosomal RNA (471 nucleotides) under Nephotettix virescens. RNAcentral describes it as "partial large subunit ribosomal RNA". The record is from RNAcentral. Lineage: Eukaryota; Metazoa; Arthropoda; Insecta; Hemiptera; Cicadellidae.
GGUAAAUUCUGCCCUAUGGUUUUCUAAAUGGCUGCAGUAUUUUGACUGUGCAAAGGUAGCAUAGUAAUUAGUUUCUUAAUUAGAAGCUGGUAUGAAUGGAUUAAUGAGAAAGAUAUUUUAUUAAUUUCAUUUUUAUAAAUUAAAUUUUAAGUAAAAAUGCUUAAUUAAUUUCUAGGGACGAUAAGACCCUAUAGAACUUUAUAUAAUAUUAUAUAUUAAUAUAUUUUUAUAAAAAAUAUUAUAUUAAUAUUUAUUAUAAUUUGCUGGGGUGGUAGAUAAAUUUUAACUUUAUAUUUAAAUUUCAAUAAUUAAUGUAAAUAAUGAUCCUUAUGGAAUUUAAGAUUUAGUUACCUUAGGGAUAACAGCGCAAUUUAAGUGGGGAGUUCAUAUCUAUAUUUUAUUUUGCGACCUCGAUGUUGAAUUAAGGAAAGAUUAAGAAGUAGAGUUCUUGUAUCUAAGUCUGUUCGACUU